RNAcentral lists this long non-coding RNA (605 nucleotides) under Cercocebus atys (sooty mangabey). Its description in RNAcentral is "lncRNA (ENSCATG00000045760.1)". The record is from RNAcentral. Lineage: Eukaryota; Metazoa; Chordata; Mammalia; Primates; Cercopithecidae.
GAGACAUUCAAUUUUCUCUCUUCCAUCAUCAUUAUCUAUGAGGCCAUCUGUUGUGGAAAAUGAAUUCAGCCUCAUUUGCAUGACUGAUAAGCAAUUUUUUUUUUUAUCUAUUUAACAGAAGGUCAUAUGCCGGGGAUUUGGAGCUUGUGAAAAAAAAAAUGUGGAAAAAAAAAAAAAAAAAGCCUAGGAGAGGAUGAGUGGGAGUGUGUGCAUGGGGGGUGUGUGGAAGUCAAACAGAUCGCUGAGGCCUGCGAGCCUAUCGCGCUGCAUUUGUCAUUCCUGCCCGGGCGACAUUUUUUUUUCCCUAAGCUACUGCACACUAAACAGAGUGAGAGAGCUUUUCCCUGCAGUCUUCUUGAAGCCCCCCUGGUUUUUUUACUCGUUGUUGGGCGGGUCAUGCGGAGGCUGUAGCCAAGGACGAGGUGUGUGCGGCUGUUGCCUGGACCUUUGUCCAAUCCACGUCGACAUUUGAGGAAUCACAGCGUGUGAAAAUGAACUCAGAGGAGAAUUGGUGAAUUCCUAUCCAGUGGGCAUCUUCGAACCCUGGUGGACGGCAGAAGAAUAUCAGGUCCAGGGAUCACCCACCCAGCGUGGCGACAGUGCAG